This 150-nucleotide ribosomal RNA is filed under the name Ursus maritimus (polar bear). RNAcentral describes it as "5.8S ribosomal RNA (ENSUMAG00000003007.1)". The stretch from base 37 to 150 matches the Rfam family "5.8S ribosomal RNA", at positions 40 to 154 of the family's 154-position model. Rfam says of the family: 5.8S ribosomal RNA (5.8S rRNA) is a component of the large subunit of the eukaryotic ribosome. It is transcribed by RNA polymerase I as part of the 45S precursor that also contains 18S and 28S rRNA. Lineage: Eukaryota; Metazoa; Chordata; Mammalia; Carnivora; Ursidae. The record is from RNAcentral.
GUGGCGCGGCUGGGGGUUUCCCUCGCAGGGCCUGUUCUGAUGCAGCUGGCUGUGAGAAUUAAUGUGAAUUGCAAGACACAUUGAUCAUCGACACUUAGAACGCACUUGCGGCCCUGGGUUCCUCCCAGGGCUUUGCCUGUCUGAGUGUCG